RNAcentral lists this ribosomal RNA (1291 nucleotides) under Flavobacteriaceae genomosp. C1. RNAcentral's name for it is "bacterial SSU rRNA". It matches the Rfam family "Bacterial small subunit ribosomal RNA". Lineage: Bacteria; Pseudomonadati; Bacteroidota; Flavobacteriia; Flavobacteriales; Flavobacteriaceae. The record is from RNAcentral. RNAcentral also lists the same sequence under 1 other name.
GAUGAACGCUAGCGGGAGGCCUAACACAUGCAAGCUGAGCGAGCGGCGUACGGGUGCGGAACACGUGUGCGACCUGCCUUUAUCUGGGGGAUAGCCUUUCGAAAGGAAGAUUAAUACUCCAUAAUGAAAGGCGGAUAGAGAUGGGCACGCGCAAGAUUAGCUAGUUGGUGAGGUAACGGCUCACCAAGGCAAUGAUCUUUAGGGGGCCUGAGAGGGUGAUCCCCCACACUGGUACUGAGACACGGACCAGACUCCUACGGGAGGCAGCAGUGAGGAAUAUUGGUCAAUGGGUGCAAGCCUGAACCAGCCAUCCCGCGUGAAGGACGACUGCCUAUGGGUUGUAAACUUCUUUUGUAUAGGGAUAUGAAGGUACUAUACGAAUAAGCACCGGCUAACUCCGUGCCAGCAGCCGCGGUAAUACGGAGGGUGCAAGCGUUAUCCGGAUUUAUUGGGUUUAAAGGGUCCGUAGGCGGACUUAUAAGUCAGUGGUGAAAUCCUGUCGCUUAACGAUAGAACUGCCAUUGAUACUGUAAGUCUUGAGUAUAUUUGAGGUAGCUGGAAUAAGUAGUGUAGCGGUGAAAUGCAUAGAUAUUACUUAGAACACCAAUUGCGAAGGCAGGUUACCAAGAUAACUGACGCUGAGGGACGAAAGCGUGGGGAGCGAACAGGAUUAGAUACCCUGGUAGUCCACGCCGUAAACGAUGCUAACUCGUUUUUGGAGCUUCAGAGACCAAGCGAAAGUGAUAAGUUAGCCACCUGGGGAGUACGCUCGCAAGAGUGAAACUCAAAGGAGUUGACGGGGGCCCGCACAAGCGGUGGAUUAUGUGGUUUAAUUCGAUGAUACGCGAGGAACCUUACCAAGACUUAAAUGGUCAAGGUGCUGCAUGGUUGUCGUCAGCUCGUGCCGUGAGGUGUUAGGUUAAGUCCUGCAACGAGCGCAACCCCUGUCACUAGUUGCCAUCAUGGGGACUCUAGUGAGACUGCCUACGCAAGUAGGAGGAAGGUGGGGAUGACGUCAAAUCAUCACGGCCCUUACGUCUUGGGCCACACACGUAAUACAAUGGCCGGCAGAGGGCAGCUACACAGCGAUGUGAUGCAAAUCUCGCCGGUCUCAGUUCGGAUGGAGUCUGCAACUCGACUCUAGAAGCUGGAAUCGCUAGUAAUCGCGCAUCAGCCAUGGCGCGGUGAAUACGUUCCCGGGCCUUGUACACACCGCCCGUCAAGCCAUGGAAGCUGGGGGUACCUGAAGUCGGUACCAGGAGCUGCCUAGGGUAAAACUAGUAACUAGGGC